Molecule: ribosomal RNA, 254 nt
Filed under: uncultured bacterium
Lineage: Bacteria
Description: partial 16S ribosomal RNA
Rfam family: Bacterial small subunit ribosomal RNA
Source: RNAcentral
UACGUAGGCAGCGAGCGUUGUUCGGAAUUACUGGGCGUAAAGAGUGUGUAGGCGGUGCUCCCAGUCUGUUGUGAAAUCUCCCGGCUUAACUGGGAGGGUGCAGCGGAAACUAGAGUGCUAGAGGGUGGGAGAGGUAAGCGGAAAUUCCUGGUGUAGCGGUGAAAUGCGUAGAUAUCAGGAGGAACACCUGUGGUGUAGACAGCUUACUGGACCACUUCUGACGCUGAGACACGAAAGCGUGGGUAGCAAACAGG